RNAcentral lists this long non-coding RNA (260 nucleotides) under Hordeum vulgare. Its description in RNAcentral is "long non-coding RNA (HVUL_LNC010496)". The record is from RNAcentral. Lineage: Eukaryota; Viridiplantae; Streptophyta; Magnoliopsida; Poales; Poaceae.
CUAAACCCAGUAUGUGGCUCGGUUGGGGCCUCCGGUUUUAGAUGUUAGGCUUUGAUGCGAUGUCUGUUUGGUAUUAGGCUCGGACUAUCGGCACCCCUUCAUCAAGUGGUUAGGAGUAGCCAUAGUUGUUGCUAAGAUGGUGGCUUCGAACAAACUGAUGUACUACUUGUAAGGUUUUUGUGAAUAAUUAAUAAAAUGACUGCAUGCAUCGUCCAGAUGCAGAGGCCGGGGGUAAUCCUUCUUUUCUAAAAAAAUAAAAU